UCCUGGUUAACCCAGGCAGUCUCGCUAGAGUGCCCGACAUUACUCGCUGGCAACUAACGACAAGGGUUGCGCUCGUUGCGGGACUUAACCCAACACCUCACGGCACGAGCUGACGACAGCCAUGCAGCACCUGUGCACGCGUCUCUUGCGAGAAAACGUUAUCUCUAACGUCGCCACGUGCAUGUCAAAUCCAGGUAAGGUUCUUCGCGUUGCAUCGAAUUAAACCACAUGCUCCACUGCUUGUGCGGGUCCCCGUCAAUUCUUUUGAGUUUUACCCUUGCGAGCGUACUCCCCAGGCGGUAUACUUAUCGCGUUAGCUUCGGCACAGACGGGGUUGAGUCCGUCUACGCCAAGUAUACAUAGUUUAAGGCAAGGACUAC
This 380-nucleotide unclassified non-coding RNA is filed under the name uncultured Parachlamydiaceae bacterium. RNAcentral's name for it is "contains 16S-23S intergenic spacer region". Lineage: Bacteria; Pseudomonadati; Chlamydiota; Chlamydiia; Parachlamydiales; Parachlamydiaceae. The record is from RNAcentral.